RNAcentral lists this ribosomal RNA (1156 nucleotides) under Salmonella enterica subsp. enterica. RNAcentral describes it as "bacterial LSU rRNA". It matches the Rfam family "Bacterial large subunit ribosomal RNA", at positions 114 to 1211 of the family's 2925-position model. Lineage: Bacteria; Pseudomonadati; Pseudomonadota; Gammaproteobacteria; Enterobacterales; Enterobacteriaceae. The record is from RNAcentral.
CCGAAUGGGGAAACCCAGUGUGAUUCGUCACACUAUCAUUAACUGAAUCCAUAGGUUAAUGAGGCGAACCGGGGGAACUGAAACAUCUAAGUACCCCGAGGAAAAGAAAUCAACCGAGAUUCCCCCAGUAGCGGCGAGCGAACGGGGAGGAGCCCAGAGCCUGAAUCAGCAUGUGUGUUAGUGGAAGCGUCUGGAAAGGCGCGCGAUACAGGGUGACAGCCCCGUACACAAAAGCGCAUGUGCUGUGAGCUCGAUGAGUAGGGCGGGACACGUGGUAUCCUGUCUGAAUAUGGGGGGACCAUCCUCCAAGGCUAAAUACUCCUGACUGACCGAUAGUGAACCAGUACCGUGAGGGAAAGGCGAAAAGAACCCCGGCGAGGGGAGUGAAAAAGAACCUGAAACCGUGUACGUACAAGCAGUGGGAGCCCCACCACUAAGCCAGUGGUGAACUCCACAUACGCAUCCUUUGCUGAGGAUACGGUUAACGGAGCGAAAGCGACGUUCAACCUCAAAAGAAGCAGAGGGGGCUUAGUGGUGGGGUGACUGCGUACCUUUUGUAUAAUGGGUCAGCGACUUAUAUUCUGUAGCAAGGUUAACCGUAUAGGGGAGCCGGAGGGAAACCGAGUCUUAAUUGGGCGUUAAGUUGCAGGGUAUAGACCCGAAACCCGGUGAUCUAGCCAUGGGCAGGUUGAAGGUUGGGUAACACUAACUGGAGGACCGAACCGACUAAUGUUGAAAAAUUAGCGGAUGACCUGUGGCUGGGGGUGAAAGGCCAAUCAAACCGGGAGAUAGCUGGUUCUCCCCGAAAGCUAUUUAGGUAGCGCCUCGUGAAUUCAUCUCCGGGGGUAGAGCACUGUUUCGGCUAGGGGGCCAUCCCGGCUUACCAACCCGAUGCAAACUGCGAAUACCGGAGAAUGUUAUCACGGGAGACACACGGCGGGUGCUAACGUCCGUCGUGAAGAGGGAAACAACCCAGACCGCCAGCUAAGGUCCCAAAGUCAUGGUUAAGUGGGAAACGAUGUGGGAAGGCCCAGACAGCCAGGAUGUUGGCUUAGAAGCAGCCAUCAUUUAAAGAAAGCGUAAUAGCUCACUGGUCGAGUCGGCCUGCGCGGAAGAUGUAACGGGGCUAAACCAUGCACCGAAGCUGCGGCAGCGA